AAGGUAUGGUAAGGGCAUUUUCUAAGCAUCUCCUUGAAUAUUUCCCAACUCUCAUAAAAAGAUUCUCCUUCUAACUGAAUAAAAUAAAUAAUAUCAUUUCUAGGUUU
Small nucleolar RNA from Dendrobium catenatum, 107 nucleotides. The record is from RefSeq and is a predicted model, not a curated record. NCBI's taxonomy places the organism in Eukaryota, Viridiplantae, Streptophyta, Magnoliopsida, Asparagales, Orchidaceae.